GGUUAAUCCCUGCACCCCCAAUAAUAUAAUACCGGCAUGUAAAGGGUUAAUCCCUGCACCCCAAUAAUAUAAUACCGGCAUAUAAAGGGUUAAUCCCUGCACCCCAAUAAUAUAAUACCGGCAUAUAAAGGGUUAAUCCCUGCACCCCCAAUAAUAUAAUACCGGCAUAUAAAGGGUUAAUCCCCGCACCCCAAUAAUAUAAUACCGGCAUAUAAAGGGUUAAUCCCUGCA
Non-coding RNA from Pelobates cultripes (western spadefoot toad), 231 nucleotides. Lineage: Eukaryota; Metazoa; Chordata; Amphibia; Anura; Pelobatidae. The record is from the annotation of a GenBank genome assembly.